This 398-nucleotide transfer-messenger RNA is filed under the name Duncaniella sp. It matches the Rfam family "transfer-messenger RNA". Rfam says of the family: Bacterial tmRNA, also known as 10Sa RNA or SsrA, is named for its dual tRNA and mRNA-like properties. The record is from RNAcentral. Lineage: Bacteria; Pseudomonadati; Bacteroidota; Bacteroidia; Bacteroidales; Muribaculaceae.
GGGGCUGACUGGCUUUGACAGCGUGUAGAAGCGGUGAGCAAGCAUGCAGAGCAAUGAUGGCUACGCUCUUUAAUCUGGGACAUCAAAAAUUCAAAUGGCGAAAACAACUACGCUCUCGCUGCCUGAUUGAAGUACAGUAGAUCAGCUUUAUCGCUGCAACAGUUGCGGCGACGAGACAUCACCCGAUUGUCCUUUUUCCGAGACGGAUCGACAAGGUGGUGCAGAUAAAUCGGAAAUAUGGCGACGAAAGCCUCGCGACUCGCCGAGAUUUUAGAGGAUAAGGUGACAAUUGGCCGUCUCUUGCCUGUUGUCAUUCGAAAACCAACAUGAGAAUAAGCAUGUAGAAACCUCAUUGGUUCCACGUUUGGACGAGGGUUCAAACCCCUCCAGCUCCACUA